RNAcentral lists this long non-coding RNA (208 nucleotides) under Elaeis guineensis (African oil palm). Its description in RNAcentral is "long non-coding RNA (EGUI_LNC002042)". The record is from RNAcentral. Lineage: Eukaryota; Viridiplantae; Streptophyta; Magnoliopsida; Arecales; Arecaceae.
UGGUGGUACCUAUUGCAAAGAGAGCGGAACUUUAGUUCCACGUCGGUUGUUCAGUUAGGUUACCUUAUCUUAUAAGGCUUCGAAACCCUCCAGCUCCUUGAGAGACGUCUUUUGGCCCGCGAAACAUAGCUCUGAAGGAUAAAAUCGUGUGGGUACGCCCAAAGCGGACAACAUCUCUCCUACUGGGUGGGGCCACCUUAUGCCCACG